GGGGGAUUGGCGCAAUUGGCUAGCGUGUGAGAUUCCAGCGACAAAUAAGUCUGAAAUUCCUCAAGGUUGUCGGUUCAAGUCCGGCAUCCCUCA
Dactylonectria estremocensis is the source of this 93-nucleotide non-coding RNA. The record is from the annotation of a GenBank genome assembly. Lineage: Eukaryota; Fungi; Ascomycota; Sordariomycetes; Hypocreales; Nectriaceae.